Molecule: ribosomal RNA, 253 nt
Filed under: uncultured bacterium
Lineage: Bacteria
Description: partial 16S ribosomal RNA
Rfam family: Bacterial small subunit ribosomal RNA
Source: RNAcentral
UACGUAGGGUGCGAGCGUUGUCCGGAAUUAUUGGGCGUAAAGGGCUCGUAGGCGGUUUGUCGCGUCGGGAGUGAAAACGCCGUGCUUAACACGGCGCUUGCUUUCGAUACGGGCAGGCUAGAGGUAUGCAGGGGAGAACGGAAUUCCUGGUGUAGCGGUGAAAUGCGCAGAUAUCAGGAGGAACACCGGUGGCGAAGGCGGUUCUCUGGGCAUUACCUGACGCUGAGGAGCGAAAGUGUGGGGAGCGAACAGG